This 4874-nucleotide long non-coding RNA is filed under the name Sus scrofa (pig). RNAcentral describes it as "lncRNA (ENSSSCG00015002913.1)". Lineage: Eukaryota; Metazoa; Chordata; Mammalia; Artiodactyla; Suidae. The record is from RNAcentral.
AUCAACAGAUGAAUGGAUAAACAAAAUGUUGUCUGUACAUGCAAUGGAAUAUCAGUCAGCCUUAGAAAGGAAAUUCUGACAUAUGCUACAAUAUGGAUGAAGCUUGAGGAUAUUAUCCUAAGUGAUAGCAUAAGUCAGAAGAAGAAACUGAGAGUUCCCGUCGUGGCUCAGUGGUUAAUGAAUCUGAUUAGGAACCAUGAGGUUGCUGGUUCAAUCCCUGGUCUUGCUCAGUGGGUUAAGGUGUUGCGGUGUUGCCGUGAGCUGUGGUGUAGGCUGCAGAAGCAGCUCAGAUCCCACGUUGCUGUGGCUCUGGUGUAGGCUGGCAGCUACAGCUCCGAUUAGACCCCUAGCCUGGGAAUCUCCAUAUGCUGAGGCCAUAGAAAAGAACCCCCCCCCAAAAAAAAGAAAAGAAGAAGCCCUAUGACUCCACCUAUAUGUGAUUAAUACCUAGAGUAAUCAAAUUCAUAGAAACAGAAAGCAGAAUGGUGGUUUCCAGAGGCUGGGGCAAGAGGGAAAUGGGAAGUUAGUCUUUAAUGGGUACAUAGUUUCAGUUCUGUAGGAUGAACAUCUUGAGUUGGAGGGUGGUGAUAGUUGAACAAUAAUAUGAUUGUACUUAAUAUUACUGAACUGUACACUUAAAAGUGGGUAAAGUGGUAAGGUUUGUGUUAUGUAUAUUUUACCAUAAUUUUUAAAACAGCAAUAAAAUAUCACAUUAUACCUAUGCGGGAGGCAGAAUUCUAAGAUGAGCCCUGGUGCCCAAGCCCUUAUAUAACCCUCUCCCCUUGAACAUGGGCAGGGCCUAGAACUUGCCUUUAACCAGUAGAAUAUAAAAAAGCUGGUAGAAUAUCAACCCCCUAAUCAGGUUAUGCUAUAAGAAACAUGUGAAGGGAAUUUGCUGAUGUAAUUAAAGUCCCUAAUAAAUUGGCAAAUGCUGCUCGGGUGGCAAAGUGCUUGAAUGCCUUUUCUUUUUUGUCUUUUGUCUUUUUUAGGGCUGCACCUGCAGCAUAUGGAGGUUCCCAGGCCUGGGGUUGAAUCAGAGCUCUAGCUGCCAGCCUAUGCCACAGCCACAGCAAUGCCAGAUCUGAGCCGUGUCUGUGACCUACACCACAGCUCAUGGCAAUACCAUAUCCUUAACCCACUGAAGGAGGCCAGAGAUCAAACCCCCAUGCUUGUGAAUACUAGUUGGGUUUGUAACCUGCUGAGCCACAACAGGAACUCUCAGAUGUCCCUUCCUGCCUUUCCAAUCUGCUUCCCUCUGAGUAGGUUUCAUUCUUAGGCUGAGCCCCUUGGGGGACAAAGAUGGUCCCCAGCAGCACCAGUUGUACACUGUCCAGCUAGCAAACCCAGAGGUGUGGGCGUCCCCUUCCCAGGGGUUCCCACAGAAGCCCCAGAGCUGAUGCUCUCUGGCCCAGAAUGAGUCACACACCCAUGCCUGAACCAGCCCCUGUGACUCUGAUGGCCAGGCCAGGGUGGCACAGCAGCCUGGCUCAGUGAAGGGGAGUUUGGCACAGGAAACCGCACAAGCAAAAAGCCCAGCCACGUGAAGCUGGAACAGCAGACACAAAGUUCCCUGCUGCUUGGCAAUUCUUGGACAAAAGGCACCAUCUGAAAGGUGUGAUCAGAUCUGCAAUUUGCUGGGCAGCUGGUAGUGGGUGGCUUGGGGAGAGUGGUGACAUUCAGGCCCUCUAGCAUGUUCUCCAAGAAAGAAUGUGCCUCAAGAAGUACCUCCCCCCAGGCCCUUCUUCCUGCCAAAGAGUCCCUUUUCCAGAGAGCAGAAGCUGGUGUGCUCAGUGUUUCAACACAAAUGCCUGGGGGAGGGCUCGCCUGCUUGUCCUGGGUCAUUUGCAAAAAUGAAAGCAAAUCUAUAUAAUCAGUUGCCAGAAAAGUACUUAACUGGCCUGUAUUCAUUCUGCACCAGGAGAGCUGAGAGCCGCAGGACAGAAUGGUCUCACUCCUGUCACAAAACCCCAUUCUGGGCCAGCCCCAGGGCCUGGGGAUUCUCCAGAACUUAACCCCCAGCCUUUCUGCCCUAGCCAGCCCACAAGCAGCUGGAGGGUGGUUGCUGGCAUUGUCUCCUGGACCCCUGAGGGCUGGGCUGGGCCAUGCUGGGAAGUGGUCUGGGCAUUCUGAGGGUCAGGAAUGGCCUUCUCUUAUGUGGCCCCCACAUAACCUCUCCCCAAACCACUCCUCCCCACUGCCUGGGGUUUUAAAUGCAGUUCCCACCUCUUUCUGGCCGGGGUAGGCAGUGUGAUUUUGUCAUGAGCAGCUAGCCACAUGAGGCUGAAUCCCGACUGUGUGGGCAAAGAACUGGUAGCAUGGCUUUCCCCCAGAGUAGGGCUGCUUGGUGCUGGUCUGCACCUGCCUCUGGAGCAGGACAUGGAGCAGAGGGAGAUGUGGGGAUUAGUUACAGUGCUUUUGCCUGCAAGGAACAGAAGGCCCACCUCAAAGGGGCUUAAACGAGAAAGGAGAUGUGCCUCCUGUGCACAGAAGCCCCAAGGUAGGACAGCCCAGGACUGCUCAGUACUGCAGGUGUAUCAACAGAGACCCAAGCUUCUCCCCCCUUUCAUGCUGUUCACUUCAGUGAGCCAGUUCUCAGGCCAGCUUCCCUCAUGAUCACAAGAUGGCUGCCAUGGUUCUAGCCAUCACAUCCAGCAGGGGAUAGCAUCCAGCAGAGGAGAUCACCUCUUCCUGGAUAUAUCUAUUUAAGAGUGAGGGAACUUACCCCAGAGUCACCCUAGUUGCUUUUCUGUCAUGGCUCACUGGACAGAAUUACAUCACACACCCAUUCUUGGUCCAUUUCUAGCAGAGGACACAGGAAAACCACAACGGGCUUACAUGGACUCCCCUGUAGCACGGGAUUCUAAUACUCCAGCAGCAUCUGCUGCACCAGGACAAGGAUGUUCUUCUCACUCAGAGAUAGUGGAGAAGGGAUGGGAAUUCUAGUCCUGUUUUCUCCACCAGUUACUGUCUGACCCUAGACAAGUCAGGUCCCCCAUCAGUCCCUCACCCACAGGCAUUCUCUCCUCACAUCUUGCCAAUACAACUCAGAUUUGACUCAGUGGCAAUAUGCUCAGCCAGGGAAUGGAUCAUGAUUGCGGAAACAGUUGUGGCAACACCUCUGCCCUUUGUUAACUACUUGCCUGGACAGCCUCCACUACAACUCGGGGUAACCAUGGGACCCCAGGCAAGGAGAAAGAAAGAGGACUUUUCUAGAAUCCUUCCGGGAAAGAUUGUUCUCCCCUUUUCUCUCCUCUUUUCUUUCAACUUUCGCACACCAUCAAAUGAGGAUGUGAUGUUUGGAGCUUUGGCAGCCAUAUUGCAACAAUGAGGCAUAACAAGAAACUCUCAGACCCGCCAACCUCAUGCUUUGGCAGUAUGGGGCUCUGGGACAGUCUUAGGACCACAAAGAUUUGUUAUGGAAGUGAAAUAGACUCCUGUUUAAUUAAGCCCCCAUUAUUUCAGUUUUCUUUACUUGCAGCCAAGCAUACCCUAACUGAAACAGAGCCCAGUUUCUUCAUCAGUAACAUGAAAAGAAUGAUUCUGAUGAGGGUGGCCGUUAUCCUCUGGGCUGUCAUGCUCUGUGAUGACAAAUCCUCCUAGAAUUCACCCACCAGUUCCUUGAGGAAAACCAGGUUCCUGCUAACUUUCCAUAUGCCCUUGAAAACUUGAGAGGACAACAUGGUGAGAUUGGAAGCAUCCCUGAGCCUUUUCCUAUGCUACCGGGAAACUCCAUCCUUUGGGACCAAAAUUCCCAAAGGACACAGGUGAGGAUCAGUUAAAAUUGCAUAUAACAAAAACACAGAAACCUGAGAACAGUGUCUUAAGCGUAUAGAGUUUUGGGAGGUUUUUCCUGAAGUAAUAAGAAGUCCAGAGUUCAAGAGGCCACAGUUGGUCAAGCUGCUAGGGCUGGAAUGAGGUUACCAGGGACCAGGGUCCUUUCAGCUUCACCAUCCUCAGCAGGAGCCACGUCCUCAGGGGCACACGGCAGCUGAUGCCCCAGAGAGGAAUAAGAGGAAGGUGAAGGGCAAAGCUGGAAAGGUCUUCGAUCUGCCAGGAAAGCAGCAGCCAUCCAGGAAAGUCCCACUCGAGGGCCAUCUGUCAUCCUGGGUUCUAUAGCCAUCCUCAGCUUUGAGGGAGAGGAAGGGGAGAGUGGCCAUUGGGGAGACAAUUAGCCACAUGCACCACCAGGCUUGAGGUCAGAAGACCUGGGACUCAGCCCAGCACUGCUUUCUGCCACCUUCUGUGAUCCUGGUGCUCAGUUAAUGGUCUUGAGUCUCAGCGCAUCUACCAGCACAAAGAAAGAGGCCCUAUGUCAAGUAUCAAAGCCACAGGUGGCCAGUGACUACUGCAUUGGAUGGCACUGGCCUAGUGGCUGUACGUCUGGUUGGUAGAGUGGCAGCUGCUGGCAUUAUCCAGAACAAGGAUUCAUUUGUAAGAGAAACAAGUGAAACUGCCAAGCCCUGCUGAGCUGUGGCUGUAAGACAGCUGAGAGUCAAGUUCUCUCCCAAUCAGGGAUCCUCCCUGGACAUAAGGCCAUCUUGACUGUAUUUAUGCAUCUUAGAGUCCAGAGCUGGGGGCUCUGUCCUAGUGGGCAGGAAGGACCUAGAGAAGAGGAGUUGUGGCCACUUUUGGGGGUGGAUAGUAGCUUCUUGGGCUGAGGGUGGAAGAGUCCCAAAGGAACAUGUGAAGACUAAGAAGGAAAUUUUAAAAGCCUGCGCCCAGAGAACAUUCUGACUCUAAAGAGUCAGGUGAGCUCAGACCAGGGAGCCAACUACGGACAGAGUGGGGAAAAGGCUUCAUAUUUGGAAAAUGAACAGAAACGGUUGCACAGGCUUUGGACACAGAGCAUCGGAAACUCCAGGAGGAAUGAAAUC